GUUCUUUCUAGGACUGUCCAACCUGAGAAUGUUGGAUUUGGGUUCAAUCUCAGGUUCGUCAGCCCAUGAAACACU
Molecule: microRNA precursor, 75 nt
Filed under: Tetraodon nigroviridis (spotted green pufferfish)
Lineage: Eukaryota; Metazoa; Chordata; Actinopteri; Tetraodontiformes; Tetraodontidae
Description: Danio rerio miR-1388 stem-loop (ENSTNIG00000020445.1)
Rfam family: mir-1388 microRNA precursor family (bases 5-71)
Source: RNAcentral